AGUGAACGCUGGCGGUAGGCCUAACACAUGCAAGUCGAACGGCAGCACAGAGGAGCUUGCUCCUUGGGUGGCGAGUGGCGGACGGGUGAGGAAUACAUCGGAAUCUACUCUGUCGUGGGGGAUAACGUAGGGAAACUUAAGCUAAUAGCGCUUACGACCUACGGGUGAAAGGCGGUGAUCUUAGGACUUUGAGCGAUGGAAUGAGACGAUGUCGGAUAAGCGAGUUGGAGGGGUAAAGGCCCACCAAGGCGACGAUCCGUAGCUGGUCUGAGAAGAAGAUCAGCCACACUGGAACUGAGACACGGUCCAGACUCCUACGGGAGGCAGCAAUGGGGAAUAUUGGACAAUGGGCGCAAGCCUGAUCCAGCCAUACCGCGUGGGUGAAGAAGGCCUUCGGGUUGUAAAGCCCUUUUGUUGGGAAAGAAAUCCAUCUGGUUAAUACCCGGGUGGGAUGACGUUACCCAAAGAAUAAGCACCGGCUAACUUCGUGCCAGCCGCCGCGGUAA
RNAcentral lists this ribosomal RNA (506 nucleotides) under uncultured bacterium. RNAcentral's name for it is "partial 16S ribosomal RNA". It matches the Rfam family "Bacterial small subunit ribosomal RNA", at positions 29 to 523 of the family's 1533-position model. The record is from RNAcentral.